AUACGGAGGGGGCUAGCGUCGUUCGGAAUUACUGGGCGUAAAGCGUACGUAGGCGGACUGAUCAGUUGGGGGUGAAAUCCCAGGGCUUAACCCUGGAACUGCCUUCAAUACUGUCAGUCUUGAGAUUGGAAGAGGUGAGUGGAAUUCCUAGUGUAGAGGUGAAAUUCAUAGAUAUUAGGAGGAACACCAGUGGCGAAGGCGGCUCACUGGUCCAAUACUGACGCUGAGGUACGAAAGCGUGGGGAGCAAACAGGAUUAGAAACCCUAGUAGUCC
Molecule: ribosomal RNA, 274 nt
Filed under: uncultured bacterium
Lineage: Bacteria
Description: partial 16S ribosomal RNA
Rfam family: Bacterial small subunit ribosomal RNA
Source: RNAcentral